Molecule: ribosomal RNA, 1392 nt
Filed under: uncultured bacterium
Lineage: Bacteria
Description: bacterial SSU rRNA
Rfam family: Bacterial small subunit ribosomal RNA
Source: RNAcentral
AGGGUUUGAUCCUGGCUCAGAUUGAACGCUGGCGGCAUGCCUUACACAUGCAAGUCGAACGGUAACGCGGGGGCAACCCUGGCGACGAGUGGCGAACGGGUGAGUAAUACAUCGGAACAUAUCCAGUAGCGGGGGAUAACCUAUCGAAAGAUGGACUAAUACCGCAUACGAUCUACGGAUGAAAGCAGGGGACCGCAAGGCCUUGCACUAUUGGAGUGGCCGAUGUCGGAUUAGCUAGUUGGUGGGGUAAAAGCUUACCAAGGCGACGAUCCGUAGCUGGUCUGAGAGGACGAUCAGCCACACUGGAACUGAGACACGGUCCAGACUCCUACGGGAGGCAGCAGUGGGGAAUUUUGGACAAUGGGCGCAAGCCUGAUCCAGCCAUGCCGCGUGAGUGAAGAAGGCCUUCGGGUUGUAAAGCUCUUUCGGUGAAGACGAAACGGUUAGCGCUAAUAACGCUGACUAAUGACGGUACUCACAGAAGAAGCACCGGCUAACUACGUGCCAGCAGCCGCGGUAAUACGUAGGGUGCAGGCGUUAAUCGGAAUUACUGGGCGUAAAGCGUGCGCAGGCGGUUUGCUAAGACAGGUGUGAAAUCCCCGAGCUUAACUUGGGAAUUGCGCUUGUAACUGGCAGGCUAGAGUGUAGCAGAAGGGGGGGUGGAAUUCCACGUGUAGCAGUGAAAUGCGUAGAUAUGUGGAGGAACACCGAUGGCGAAGGCAGCCCCCUGGGUUAACACUGACGCUCAUGCACGAAAGCGUGGGGAGCAAACAGGAUUAGAUACCCUGGUAGUCCACGCCCUAAACUAUGUCAACUAGUUGUCGGGGAAGAAAUUCCUUGGUAACGAAGCUAACGCGUGAAGUUGACCGCCUGGGGAGUACGGCCGCAAGGUUAAAACUCAAAGGAAUUGACGGGGACCCGCACAAGCGGUGGAUUAUGUGGAUUAAUUCGAUGCAACGCGAAAAACCUUACCUACCCUUGACAUGCUAGGAAGCCCGCAGAGAUGUGGGUGUGCCCGAAAGGGAACCUAGACACAGGUGCUGCAUGGCUGUCGUCGGCUCGUGUCGUGAGAUGUUGGGUUAAGUCCCGCAACGAGCGCAACCCUUGCCAUUAGUUGCUACAUUCAGUUGGGCACUCUAAUGGGACCGCCGGUGACAAACCGGAGGAAGGUGGGGAUGACGUCAAGUCCUCAUGGCCCUUAUGGGUAGGGCUUCACACGUAAUACAAUGGUCGGUACAGAGGGCUGCCAACCCGCAAGGGGGAGCUAAUCCCAGAAAGCCGAUCGUAGUCCGGAUUGUAGUCUGCAACUCGACUGCAUGAAGCCGGAAUCGCUAGUAAUCGCGGAUCAGCAUGUCGCGGUGAAUACGUUCCCGGGCCUUGUACACUCCGCCC